AUGUGGACAUGCUCUAAAGGCUGAUAAUUGAGAAUGAGCGCCAAUCUAAUUUUCUUUAUUCUCCUUCCUCUUCAAUUCCUCUUCAAUUCGUAUUCAAUGCUCUCUUCUCCUUCUCACGUGGUUGAUUCUAUCAACAAACCUUAAUCGCCAAGCAAGUUCUUCUGUUUUUUGUGUAGAUCUACGGCAUUAUUUCAACUAGAAAAAGAAUAAAAAAAUCUAGAUCUCUUGGGUUACAAUUGAAAGCAACCAGACACUUGAAAUUUAGGGUUUGAUGGUGAUACUAAAAUGGGGGUGAGAGUUGACAAAAGAGAUACUCCUUUGCUUCUCUGAGUCUGUACAAAAAUUUGAAGUUCUGACACCAGGUAUUCGAUUAAAUGCUAACUCGAGAUUCACUAUUAAUUUUAAGGUCAAUUUGGUUUUCUUCAAUGGUAUUUUGGGAAAUCGAUCUGUAGGUUCAUGUUGAUUGUGGUUCCUUAUACUUCAAGAUUUGGAGGGUGCCCAUUUGUAUUUUCUUUUGUACGAUGAUUACAAAUAUAUGAUUAAAAGUUCAAUAAUAAUAAAUUUCUUUGAGUUAAGUGAUAUAGAAGGUUUUAUGCAUUUCAAAAUACAAAACUCACUUCUUUGAUCCGUUUCCUUUUUAGAUAUGUUUUUUUUUUUAUUAUAAAUUUGUGCGUAUUUCGAGUUUUCGUGUUUCAUCCGUGUUUUAUCCCCUUCUCUAUCUUCACCAUCUCCUCUUUGUUCAGCCAACGCUAGCUAAUAAGUGAAAGUUGACAAAAUUUUAUCUUCAUUCCAAGUAUGGUUCCAUUUCACUGAUUUUUGUCUAGAUUUGUUAGAUUUUGGUUUCCAAGUGGUUCAAAGAAACGUUGUUUAAGUUGUUGUAGUUGACCACUUCACUUAUUUUUUGUUCUUGCAAAAUAUCUUAGUCCACAUUUGUUUUUAACCAUUUCAUAUGUCCUCUUGACGGUUUUAGGCUAAAUUUUAGCAGAUUAUGGCCGCUAUGUAUCAACACUAAUGGAACAUAAGAGCCUUUAUGAAGUAAAUCUCCCUAAUUAACCUUUGGUAAGAAAUUUUAUCCACUUUUUUAACAAUAUAGGGCUUAUCUUUGUGUUUUAGAAAACCUUGGGACCCAAUUUUCUGAUUGGUUUAAGUUGAAUGUAAGUUCACAUGUCAUCUUAUGUGUGUUUUUAUUUUUUAUAGUGGCUUGCUUAAAGAUUGAUGAUAUGUUAAAUUACAUGUCAUCCUAGAGAAACUGUUGUUAUGGAUGGUGGGUGGUUAAUGCAGAAGAUAAGGAUGGUGGGUGGCGGUGCAAGAGUGCUACCCCGCCACCUGCCGGUGGUGAAAGACCACCACGCGCGACCCGCACACAUUGUCGUACCUUUAGGUGUACACACCUUGCGCCUUUUUAUUCCUUCUUUUGUUCUCAAAUUUAUAUCAUUUCUUUUUUGGGUGUAAACGAGCCAAGUCGCUCUUGAGCUAAUCUAGAUCGGCUAAGAGCUCGAAUAGAGUCAAGUUUAGAUGAACGCAAUCCUAAGCUCGGGCCUAAAAAUAAAAAUUUGUUUAAUAAAUGAGCCUAAGCCCGAGCUUCCUUUAUCGAGAUCAAGUUGGCUCGCAAGCCUAAACGAGCCCAAGGCCGAACUUUUUUAAUAAAUUGCAGCUCGAACUCACUUACUUACGAAAAACUUAAUGCAUUAAUGAUUAAACCUCCUAAACUGUUAUAUUUGAAAAGUUAAUAGUUGAUAUAAAUUUAGAAACGAAUUUUGUGUUUCAUAGUUAUUAAAGGACACUUAAUCUUUAAUGUUUUGCAGUUUGUUGAUCUUCUUUAUUUUAUCAUAUGGGAAGUUAACAUCUUUACAUGAUUCCAUGAGACAUGGAUAUAAUAAGCUCUAAUUGCAUAACUAUACAACUUUCUUUUGUUGAUAGAUGUGACCUGCAUUGGUAAAAACUGCAAAAGGAGGUGUAGACGUGAUUGGAACAUAUGUAUUUUGGAAUGGAUGAGCCAUCACUUGAUUUUCUAAAAACAUCUAAAAGUGCUAGGUUGGAUGUCUAAAUGUUGACUGAUUAAUCAUUUUUUUGCAGUUUUUUAUGUGGUUUUAGUACUACUUUGGUGAGAGGUAUGAUUUACCCAAAUUUGUGAAGAUAGUUCAGGAUGUCGGUAUGCUUUUUAUUUUUUGGAUCAGCCCAUUCGUUGCUGCAGAAUGGAACUUUGGGUAUGUCUAUAACUAUUGUUUCUUAGUUUAAUAUCGAUGUUUGGUUUUUUUAGCUUAAAGGUAAUAUAUGUUUUAAAUUCUUAACGAUUUACCAUAAAAUAUUUAGUUGUAUGCCUGUUUGAUUAAACUAUUUACCAAGGUGAGAAAUUGCUUAUGGUUUCUGUUUGAUUACACUAUAUUCAGUGUUAGUGGAAAAUGUAGCAUUAUAUGCAAAACUUCACAACUCAACAUAUUAUUGUGAUUGUGAUCAGGUUAGUAGCAUGUAAACUAUAGUUAAAGAUUGCGAUUUUUGACUCAUUUGUAUACACUAUCAAUUGGUUCGGGUCGAUAUUGGUUAGGAGCAAAAUGAGUUCGGGUCAAAACGGGUUUGGAGCAAAAUGAGUUUGGGUUAAAAUCACAUAUUCAAAAAAAUUAUCAAUUUGGUUCUGGUUGAUAUUGGUUAGGAGCAAAUGAGUUCGGGUGAAAAUGGGUUUGGAGCAAAAUGAGUCCGGGUUAAUAAAUUUUUUUAAAUUCUUUUGGUAACUAUGUUUACAUAAAAAAUGACUGUCACUCAAAAGGAUAACCGGUUAGGAGCGAACUGAGUUCGGGUUAAAACAAAACAUUUGGAAAAAGAACUACAAUUUGGUUAAGGUCAAAACAGGUUUGGAGCAAAAUGAGUUUUGGUGAAAACUGUAUAUUAAAAAAAACUAUCAAUUUGGUUCGGGUCGAUAUUGGUUAGGAGCAAAAUGAGUUCGGAUCAAAACGGCUUUGGAGCAAAAUGAGUUUGGGUUAAAAUCAUUUUGAUAGUUUAUUGUUAUUUCUUUUCUUAGGGACUCAUUUAAGUAUCUCCUACAUUUCAAUUUUAAUCUUUUACCCAUCAUAUUGUUUCUUCACUAUUUAUAUUAGUAUAAAACUAAGAAUGAAUUUUUGAUGUCUUUAUGUGUUACACUGAUACAGUACAUGGAUCAACAUUUCAUUCAGUACCCUUCACAUGACUGGAAAAAUAGAGAAACUAUAUAGUUUAUUAGAGGUAAAUUUAUUCAAUUAUUGAACAUGUUGAAGGUAAAAUCUACAUAUUUUUUUUACUUUGGUUGUGAAACUUGCUUAUGUUGUUGCUGUUGAUACCUUUAUAAGAUCAUACAAAUAUCACUAUUAGAAUUUUGAAAGUGUCAGGUUUGAUUUUGACAGUCUUGAUUUUAAGUUGAGACUGAUGUGUAUUUGUGUAGUUAUAUAUCAAAGGUUCAUGAUUCCUAACAAAACCAUACAUGGAGCACAUCAAAGGGGAAAAAUUAUAAAGUUUUUUUUUAUUUAAAUAUUGAAUAUUUAAUACUAAGAAGUGCUUUGAUUAUGAAACUCAAACCUGCUGUUCUUUACUUUCAAGUUUAAUGUGAAUACAUGGAUGCAAAGAUUUAUGUCAAACUAAUCAUGAAUCACUUCAAAUGGACCAAAGGGUGCAAAGAAGACCAAAGUUUUUCUAUCAAAAUUAAGUCUUUAAACUACUAAAUUUGACUUUCAGUUUCAGUUAUACAGGUAUACGUUUGUGGAUCAAUGGUGACAGAAGAGCAUGUUGUUGAAUAUGGCUUAACUAAAAUAUUUUGACUGUCACUCGAAAGUAUAACACGGGUUAGGAGCGAACUGAGUUCAAAAAAAUCAUAUUGAAAAAAACUAUCAAUUUGGUUUAUGUCAAAACGGGUUUGGAGCAAAACGAGUUUCGGUUAAAAUUGUAUAUUAAAAAAAACUAUCAUUUUGGUUCUGGUCGAUACUGGUUUGGAGUAAAAUGAGUUCGGGUCAAAAUGGGUUUGGAGCUAGGUAAAUGAGUUUGUGUUAAAACUGUAUAUUUAAAAAAAACUAUCAAUUUGGUUCGGGUUGAUACUGGUUAGGAGCAAAAUGAGUUCGGGUGAAAAUGGAUUUGGAGCAAAAUUAUCUUAUUAAUAACACAGUGUGGAAAUUGGAAGUCAUAUCUAUGCAAAAGCAUAGUUCAUACUGUUUCAUUUGGUAACCCAUUAGAGAUAAAACAUAAGCGAAAAUGACCCGUUUUUAGCCUUUUUGGUAAAUGGGUUCGAAGGUAAUUAAUUUUGUUGAUGUUUGCUUGAUAAGUUUUUGACCUAAUUGUUUAUGUUGUUAGAUUUUAUGAUUUUGACCUAAUUGUGAUUUUGACUAAAUUUUUGAGUUGUUAGGUUUAGGUAUUGAGCGAUUGGUGAAUUGUGAUGUCUUGUGUGUUCAUACUUGAUAAUGGCUAAGGGGGUUGAUAGCAGCAGAAACAUGUGAGGAACAAUAUGUGAUUUAUGAAUAAUCAAAAUACAAUAUAGAGGGGUUUCUUCUAGCAACACAAUCAUAAAGUUCAUGCUUUAGCUUAAUGGUAUCACAAUACAGAGGGGUUUAUUCUAAACACUUACACAAUGUUCAAGAUAUGCUAAGUUUUAGAAAUUUCAAAUAUAACCUGCAUCCAUGCUAAUUGCUCUUUCUCUUCAAUCCGCUUCUAUUGGAUUUCUGGAAGUUGAAUGUAAGCUCUAGAAAUCAACUAUAUAUAUAUAUAUAUAUAUAUAUAUAUAUAUAUAUAUGU
Helianthus annuus (common sunflower) is the source of this 4749-nucleotide long non-coding RNA. RefSeq lists it as uncharacterized. NCBI's taxonomy places the organism in Eukaryota, Viridiplantae, Streptophyta, Magnoliopsida, Asterales, Asteraceae. The transcript is spliced from 5 exons. The record is from RefSeq and is a predicted model, not a curated record.